CCUACGGGAGGCAGCAGUGAGGAAUAUUGGUCAAUGGGCGCGAGCCUGAACCAGCCAAGUCGCGUGAAGGAUGACUGCCCUACGGGUUGUAAACUUCUUUUAUAAAGGAAUAAAGUGAGGCACGUGUGCCUCUUUGCAUGUACUCUAUGAAUAAGGAUCGGCUAACUCCGUGCCAGCAGCCGCGGUAAUACGGAGGAUCCGAGCGUUAUCCGGAUUUAUUGGGUUUAAAGGGAGCGUAGAUGGGUUGUUAAGUCAGUUGUGAAAGUUUGCGGCUCAACCGUAAAAUUGCAAUUGAUACUGGAAGCCUUGAGUACAGUUGAGGUAGGCGGAAUUCGUGGUGUAGCGGUGAAAUGCUUAGAUAUCACGAAGAACUCCGAUUGCGAAGGCAGCCUACUAAGCUGCCACUGACAUUGAUGCUCGAAAGUGUGGGUAUCAAACAGGAUUAGAUACCCCUGUAGUC
RNAcentral lists this ribosomal RNA (460 nucleotides) under uncultured bacterium. Its description in RNAcentral is "partial 16S ribosomal RNA". It matches the Rfam family "Bacterial small subunit ribosomal RNA", at positions 338 to 795 of the family's 1533-position model. The record is from RNAcentral.